UUUUGUACACUUUCUGCAAUUUUAGUGCAGCUUGGUGCCUUUGUUUCCCUGAUUCAGCCAAUGGUAUAUGAUCUUUGGUUGUCAAUCGGUCAUCCUUCUCUCCACAUUCAUAGAUAAUAGAUCUAGAAAACAACUCAUUUUCCAUUUCUGAGGUAAGAGAUUUAAAGGAGAAUGUGGUAGUCAAAUCUCUUCCUCCUAAGCUUAUCAUCUCAGGUUCUGAACCACGACCUUUGAAACUGACAGAACUCAAAACAGUCCUCAUGUCCCCUUCCCCAGAAGCAAUUGAUUUCACAAGAACAGCAUCAAAAUGGCUAUCCAAAUCGUCAAAAUCAGCGAAUGGGCAUGAAAGUGCUAUCCCCAUUUUAUUCAAGAAAAGGAAAAUGGAGAUGUCUUCUUAGUGUCUCCCAACAACCAAUAUCUCAAACAAUAUAUGGGGGGUUCUUGAUAUCUCAAUCAGAGACAAGGAGAAACAAAUAAGCAAAGUGACUUAAGGCAAAGAGAGAGCCAAGAAAAGGCACGGACUGAAAAUGGACACAGCAAUGAAAAGAAAAGCGAACAACAAAGGAGAAG
RNAcentral lists this unclassified non-coding RNA (570 nucleotides) under Hevea brasiliensis (rubber tree). Lineage: Eukaryota; Viridiplantae; Streptophyta; Magnoliopsida; Malpighiales; Euphorbiaceae. The record is from RNAcentral.